This 6693-nucleotide long non-coding RNA is filed under the name Sus scrofa (pig). RNAcentral describes it as "lncRNA (ENSSSCG00000056172.1)". Lineage: Eukaryota; Metazoa; Chordata; Mammalia; Artiodactyla; Suidae. The record is from RNAcentral.
UUUUUUUUUUGGCUGCACCUGCAGAAGUUCCCAGGCCAGGAACUUGCCACAGCAAUGACAACACUGUAUCCUUAACCCGCUGAGGCUGUGCCACCGGGGAACUCCCAAGAAAAUGUGGUGUUUAAAGUCACUUUGGACAAUUUAGAAAUGAGCAUCAUUGCUUUUUCUGUCCCUAAGCUGGUUACUAGAGAAAAGGGUUUCUGAAGCUGAGAUGAGAACUUCUGGAAGGGUCAUGAGCUCUAUGGCUCUGGAUGGCUUCCAGCUGGUUUUAGCAGGCGGCUCAGGUCUGGGGUGGUACAGAUAGCUAAGCCCCUGCUGAAAUCGAAUGUGGUGCUGGUGGGUGGGGUGGGAGCUCAGGGCGUGGUUAGGGGUACAGCCUCUGCAAUAGGACCCAUGAAGUUCCAGGUCCAGCUCCACCACGUAUGUGUGACCUUGGCCAAUCACUUGGCAUCAUUAAAAAGUAAAACAAAUAUGUAUAUAGAAAUAGGAUUCUUUUUUGGUUUUUGGCUUUGCCUAUGACAAGCAGAAAUUCCCAGGCCAUGGAUUGAACGAGCACCGUAGCGGUGAUUGGACCAUGAUGGUAAAUAACAUCAUGAUGUUAUCCGUGGAGAUCAUGAAAGACCUCAUAGGGUUAUGUCAAGGGCUAAAUGAGCCUGUCCAUUUUGGUCUUUAUUCCGGAGAGUAGUUCUUGGAGGACAGAGAAGGGAUUUAUCAAUCACUGAGAGAUUUCAGAGGAUGAAGAUUUUAACGAAAUUCAAAAACUAUCGCAAGAGGGCAAUACCUUGGUGGAAUUAACUUCACAUUUUGUUUUUAUUUGGCAAAAUCCCUCUGAGGUUCUUGUGUGUGGAGGGGUGUCUCACUCUCCCUACCACCUCUGACACUUGAAGCUAGACCAAGGCUGCUUGUCCAAGGACUGUGUUUUUUCAUUUUAAAAUUGGUCAGAGAAGGGUACUACUCACCAUAUUUAAAACCAACUUGACCCACUUUUGAGCUCUUGGUUUCCACUUAGCUUUUUCAAAAGCUUGGGGGAGGUUCUUACCCCAAAUGCCCUGGUGAAUGCUAGAAUUACAGGAUUUCUUCCCAAAGUACCUCUAAAGAACCAAUUAUACAAACUGUUGGUUAUAAGAGGAGUAAGUUUUGAGGGCCUGAUGUAUAACGUGGCGGCUAUAAUUGAUAGUGCUAUAUUAUAUAAUUGAAAUUGGCCAAGAGAGUGGAAAUAAAAUGUUCUAACAGGCACAAAAAGAUAAAUAUGUGAAGGGAUAUGUUAAUUAACUCCACAGGGGGAAUCUUCUCACAGUGAAUGUGUAUCUAAAAUCAUCAGUUGUACACUUUAAAUAUCUUACAAUUUCAUUUGUCACUUAUACCUCGAUAAACCUGGAUUAAAAAAAUAACAAAUGGUUGCACUUCAUCUCAAAUCGAGAAAGAUCGCUUUUAACCAAGAGGCUGGAGUUUCUUUUCCUCACUCCUCUCCCCAAUUCUCUUUUAAAAAAAUUUUUUUGUUAAAGUACAGUUAAUUUACAGUGGCAUGCCAAUUUCUGCUGUAUGUCAAAGUGAACCAGUCUCUCUCUAUAUGUGUGCAUAUAUGCAUAUGUAUAUAUAUAUACACACACACACACACACACACACAUUCUUUUUCUCAUAUUCUCAUAUUAUGUUCUUUCACAAGAGAUUGGAUAUAGGUGCCUGUGCUGUACAGCAGGACCUCACUGAUUAUCAAUUCUGAAUGUAAUAGUUGACAUCUAUGAAACUCAAACUCCCAGUCCAUCCCACUCCUUCUCCCUCCCCCUUGGCAACCACAAGUCUGUUCUCCAUGUCUCUGAGUCUGCAGAACAAAAGCAGACUCUCCCUACCUCUCAAUAUCACCCCAAAUCAAGAGUCUUUAGAUUCUCAAGUUUACUUAACAGAGGGGUCUCCCAAUGCUAUAACCAGCUACGCUUCCAACACGGCCAACACUUCAUGUUCACCCAUUACUGAGCUUCUUUCUCCUCAUUUCCCUCAAAAUAUGAGAACUAAGUGGGGAGCAGUGUGCCUGCCUGUGAGUUCUUCCCAUGUCCAAGGUCAUAGAGGGAUGGGAACUUGAGGCUUCAGCCUUGUGGGGCAAAGUGUGAACGUCUGUCUCAUUGUCCUGUGCUUGUCGGAAGGAGGUCUCCAGCCCAGAAGAGCCAGAGGUUGGUGCUGGCCCAUUUUCCAGGCCCUGGGAUCAGGGGCAUGGCCUUUGGAUCGGGUGCUGGCUGUCUGCAUCACCACACAGGCUCCAGGGAGCGGGCCUGGCUCCUUCUAUAACGCUCCUCCUCAAGUCCUCCCCCGCCCUGUCCCCCCCUCACCUGGGCUGCUCUGCCAGGUGGGAACCAUUCUCUCUACCCUCAGUGCAGAAGGAGCAACACUGGCCUCGUGGUGGGGGUGAACUCAGGACAGGCUUUUCUUCAUAAUUCUGAAUUUCCUAGGUUUUGUCAGUGUAAGCCAGACUCUUAAUGCUAUUUUAAUGCAGUUGUUUUGUGUGUGAAUAAUAUGCUCUUUUUGCCAAACCUCAAACCCUGGAACUAAGAUCUCAUAAAAAUGCCUAGAGUCCAAAGCUAAUAGCUGUUAUUCAGCUGUUAUGGGGUAAGGCCUACGAACGUUUCAGAUUGAUGUUAUUCUCACCAGGGCAGUGGGUGAUACGAACCUACUGAGGAGAGGCUGAGGCUCCAGAUGCUCAGGGUGCAGGCAGAGAUGAAUCCCAUCUGCCUGCUCUAGUCGCUCUUCCAGAUGGAGGUCUCUGGUGUAGAUUUUUAACCUUCAUUCCCUGUCAUAGUUUCCUCCUUCUUGAUCUUCAGCUCAGUGAAUAGCCUCACUCCCCACUCAAGCUGAAAGUUCUAGAAGUCAUCUUUGACUCAUGCCCCUGCCCCCCACCCCGUACACAUCUGAUCCCACCACACAUCUGAUCACUUCAACGUUCAUUCAACAAGGUUUUUCGUUUUUUUGUUUGUUUGUUUGUUUGUUUUUUCGGCUGCACCUGUGGCAUAUGGAAGUCCCUGGGCCAGGGAUUGAAUCCGAGCUGGAGCUUCCACCUAUGCCACAGCUGCAGCAAUGCCAGAAACUUAAUCCACUGCGCCACAGCAGGAGCUCCUCAACAGGUAUCUAGUGAGAGCUAAGUGCUUGCCUGGCACUCUGCUGGAUAGGCUGGUAAAGUGGCAGCCUGCUUGUAGGAGAGAACAUAGGGUCAUGGUUAAGAGUGUGGACUCUGGAAUUCCCUGAUGUCUCGGUGAGGAUAUUGGUUCCAUCCCUGUCCCUGCUCAGUGGCUUAAGGAUCCAGUGUUGCUGCAAGCGGCGGUGUAUGUCAGAGAUGAGGCUGGGGGCCGGCGAUGCAUGGCUGUAGUGUAGGCUGGCAGAUGCAGCUCCAAUACCACCCCCCUAGUAUAGGGAACUUCCAUGUGCUGCAGGUGCUGCUGUAAAAAAAGAAAAUGUGGCCUCUGAAGAGCCAGAGGUCAUGAGCUGGCUCUGCCAUUAUUAGCUCUGAGACCUUGGGGGCAAGGUCUUUCUGUCUCCUUAAGUGAAGUGGGGGUAAUCAUAGCAUCGGGCUUCACGGUUUCAUUUUGGCACCUAAAUGAAUUAUAGUUUUUAAUCCACUUGGUGUCUGGUAUACUGUAAAUAUGCCAGUGCUUGAAAAAUAAAACAAUGGGGGAGAGAUUGGUACUGAGUCUUCACACAAACAUGUGAAGUGGCAGGUGGAGAGGGUGGUGGCCCUGUGAAGUCUGAGGAGCCCCAGUUGGGCUUUGAAGGAUGAGUGGGUGUCAAAGUCCCGAGGGCUUCAUCUCCCGCCACUGUGCUUGUUCAAGCCUUGGUGACCUCACGCCUGGGGCCUCUGAGUGGUCUUCCUUCCAGCUCCCCUCCUCUGCAGUGGAGUUUUUCUAAACCUUAAGUCUGAUGGGGUCUUUUCCUUAAUGGCAUUCUGCAGGGGCUCCCAAGUUCCCUCAGGCCUGUAGCCAAGUAUCCUCAGUAGGCUUACAAGGACCUGCAUCAUUUUCCUGCCAGCAUCGUCUCGGUCCCCGCUUUGCUCACCUCCUCAACCCCUAGGAUACACCCUCACACGCUUUGCUUCAACCAUGGGGAAUUUCUUUUAGUUCUCUCUGCAGGUCACAGGCUUUCUCCCCUCCGGUCCAUGGCUCUUUUUCUCACCCCCACUGGGCAUCUCUCUGCUCUACCCCCCCUUUCCCGGGCGAGCUUCUAUCAUCCCCGAGACCUCAGCCUCAACCUCGCUCCUGGGGCGGCCUUCCUCAGGCUCCAUGGCUCGAGUGAGGACUUUUGCUGUGAUUUUCUACAGCCCCUCCUAGUGCCCCUACUGUGGAGUUGGUCAUUUAUCAAUCGUGUCAUUUUUCUCUACUCUCUGCAAUCCCACCAAGCUCUGGGAGGGUAGAAGUUGCCUUUCCUGUUCAAGGGUACCCCCUGCCCCCCGCAUUCAGCACAGCGCUGGGCACAUGGUCAGCGCACAAUACCUCUUAUGGGUUGACUUAUGUCUUCCCCCCAAGUCCAUAUAUGUUGAUGCUCUAACCUCUGAACGUGACCUUACUUGGAGAUGGUGUUGCAGAUGUCAUUAGUUAAAAUGAGGUCAUCUUGGAAUAGGGUGAGUCCAACCGACCCAACCCGAGAAUCACCACAUGAAAAGAAAGACAUGCACAUAGAGGGAAAGUGACGUGAAGAUAAUACAGGGAAAAGAUAUUCAUCAACACGCCAAGGGAGGUGGCCCGGAGAAGACACCUCCCUCAUCGCCCUCAGAGGGUACCAAGCCUGCAGACACCUUGAUCUCAGGCUUGGCCUCAGAAUCAAGAGAUGAUACACUUCCUUUAUUUAAGCCACAUGGUGUGUGGUAUUUUGUCACGGCAGCACUGGAAAACAAAGACGACCUCUUUCUUCACAGACCGGGUUUCCAGCUCUUUUCCAUGUGCUCCUAUAAGAAAGGACUUGGCCCGAUUGCCAACAUCCCCUCAGCAGCUCCACAUUCCACAAAUAGAUGGCUCCACAAGAAUGGCAGGCCCAGGUGGCUGUUAGUCAUCACAGCAAGCGGCCAAUUUUAGCUUCCAACGACCCCCUUCUCCCUGGGCAUUCCAAGAACUUCACCCAAGUGGGCAGGGGAGGUGCCCCUCUCAGCAAAGCGCCCACAGCAGGGGGGACGGGAGCGGAUGGGCAGGCAGGUGCCUGCUGUUCCCUCCCAGCCAGAAGCAGCAGCUGAGCAGGAACCGGGCUGAGCCAUGCACAGGGGCAAAGAGAAACAAGAGCUGGCGUGUGGAGCCAGAGCCAUGCUCUUUCUGGACUCCGGAGCCACACCACGGGAUGUCGGGGCAGGCUGUGCAGAAGCCAACAUGUCAGGGAGGAACUCCCCCUACCCCCCUUCUUAAAGGACGCUCCCCUUCUCUGUUUGAUUGCAGCCUCUAAUAAGCAAUUCUUUCAAAUUUCUUCUGACUUCAGAAGUUCAGAGUACGUUGAGCUAAAGAAACACCAGGAUCGUAAUUACGGUUAUUAUAGGGAGCUGUUGUAUGCCCAUCGCCACGGCAUCUGGCUGUAAUCACAUGCUUGAUGGAAUGCAAGACGAUCCACGGCUCAUAAUGGGCACUUUCUGAGCCAGGCAGCCACCAAGCGCCCACCCUCCCACUUGGAGGCCCAAGAGAACAGAUGUUUGUGGAAAGAGAGGAUGCCUGUGCCGGUCUGGAGGGCCAGUGACCUCGGCGUGGUGCUCAGGGAGAGACAUUCUAUAACCAGGUCUUGGAGCUCCUACUGUUCUGACCACCGAGCAAGGGCAAGAAGUGGGCUCUCCCCUGACUCUGGGCAGCAGGAAUGGGUUGCCACUGGAGGUGGGGGCGGGUGGUCAUCUCUGAUCACAGUGAGUCUCACAGAUGGCAAAGUGGAAAGGUGUGACUCUGGGAUGUAGACCCCAGCCUCUGUCCCCACUCCCCAGCAGCCAGGAUGCUCCCACACUCUGAAAAAGCUGAAGAAAAAUCUCUCGUUAAACAGUUCCUGAGGCAUAAUGGUCAAUGUCUGCUCAGGCUGCCAUAACAAAACACCACAGGCCAGGUGCCCGAAAUGACAGCAUUUACUUCUCAGCAUUCUAGACAUUGGGAAAUGCGAGAGCAAGCUGCCGCAGAUUGGUUUCUUGGUGAGGGCUCUCUGCCUGGCUGCACAUGACCAUUUUGCCUUCUUGAUGUCUCCUCCCAUGGUGGAGAGAAGAGGCUCUGGUGAGUCUCAUAAGGGCACGAAUCCUGCCAUGGGGCCCCACCUGCAAGACCUCAUCUAACCCUCAUCGCUUCCCAAAUGCCCCGCCUCCUAAUGCCAUCACAUUGGGGUUAGGCUUUAACAUAGGAACUUUGGGGAGACAGAAACAUUCUGUCUCUAAGGGUUAAACUUGCUUUCUCUCUCUCUUUUUUUGUGCCUAUCAUGUCUUUCUUCACUCCUCAGUUUUGAGAGUCAAGACACCCACAGUUGGAGUUCCUGUUGUGGCUCAGUGGUUAAUGAACCCUACUAGUAACCACGAGGUUUUGUGGGUUCAAUUGCUGUCCUUGCUCAGUGGGUUAAGGAUCCGGUGUUGCCGUGGUGUAGGUCAAAGACACAGCUCUGAUUCUGCAUUGCUGUGGCUAUGGCGUAGGCCCGUGGCUAUAGCUCCAAUUAGACCCCUAGCCUGGGAACCUUCAUAUGUCGUGGUGCAGCCCUGAAAAAGACAAAAAG